CCUACGGGAGGCAGCAGUAGGGAAUCUUCCGCAAUGGGCGAAAGCCUGACGGAGCAACGCCGCGUGAGUGAUGAAGGUCUUCGGAUCGUAAAACUCUGUUAUCAGGGAAGAACAAAUGUGUAAGUAACUGUGCACAUCUUGACGGUACCUGAUCAGAAAGCCACGGCUAACUACGUGCCAGCAGCCGCGGUAAUACGUAGGUGGCAAGCGUUAUCCGGAAUUAUUGGGCGUAAAGCGCGCGUAGGCGGUUUUUUAAGUCUGAUGUGAAAGCCCACGGCUCAGCCGUGGAGGGUCAUUGGAAACUGGAAAACUUGAGUGCAGAAGAGGAAAGUGGAAUUCCAUGUGUAGCGGUGAAAUGCGCAGAGAUAUGGAGGAACACCAGUGGCGAAGGCGACUUUCUGGUCUGUAACUGACGCUGAUGUGCGAAGACGGUGGGUAGUACAACAGGAGUAGUAUACCGUACGGUAGUACCGACCGACCGUAACGUAUAGAGUGACUAGU
RNAcentral lists this ribosomal RNA (501 nucleotides) under uncultured bacterium. RNAcentral describes it as "bacterial SSU rRNA". It matches the Rfam family "Bacterial small subunit ribosomal RNA", at positions 338 to 835 of the family's 1533-position model. The record is from RNAcentral.